UGUCCUGGGCCCUCUGACCUACAGUAUCCAACAUUCUCAAGUGCUAGGUUCCCUGGCCUCAAGCUUUGCCCUUCUUAGGCUCAGGCCCUUCUAGCCCCCAAUCCAAGUCCUGCCCUUCCUAGGCUUUUGGGCCACUGGCCCCCAGUCUGUGUCUCUUUGGCAUUAACAGAAAAAUUUUUCCUCAUGGACGCUAUAGGAUUGCACCUCUGGGUGUGCACCACCUCCCCACCCCUGACAGGCACUACAAGAUCACCCCUCUUGGGUGCUACAAGAUCACCCCUCCGGGCAUUCAGGGAUCAGUAGCCCUCCACCCCCCAGGUGUUAUGGGACCUCCAAGCCACCCCUCACAGUCCCCUCAAACCACCUUGUCUUCCUUUCAGUAUCUAGUCCCCCAUGGGCACCAGACCCUCUCAGUCCUCCCAGUCAACAGACAAAGCUGCAGGUACCUAGUCCCCCCAAGAUGCCAGACCCUUCUGGUCUGCCCCCAGGCA
This is a long non-coding RNA of Gavialis gangeticus (Gharial), 491 nucleotides long. RefSeq lists it as uncharacterized. The transcript has 4 exons. The record is from RefSeq and is a predicted model, not a curated record. Lineage: Eukaryota; Metazoa; Chordata; Crocodylia; Gavialidae.